RNAcentral lists this ribosomal RNA (394 nucleotides) under uncultured bacterium. RNAcentral describes it as "bacterial SSU rRNA". It matches the Rfam family "Bacterial small subunit ribosomal RNA", at positions 30 to 426 of the family's 1533-position model. The record is from RNAcentral.
AUUGAACGCUGGCGGCAUGCCUUACACAUGCAAGUCGAACGGCAGCACGGGAGCAAUCCUGGUGGCGAGUGGCGAACGGGUGAGUAAUAUAUCGGAACGUGCCCAGUCGUGGGGGAUAACGUAGCGAAAGCUACGCUAAUACCGCAUACGAUCUACGGAUGAAAGCGGGGGAUCGCAAGACCUCGCGCGAUUGGAGCGGCCGAUAUCAGAUUAGGUAGUUGGUGAGGUAAAGGCUCACCAAGCCGACGAUCUGUAGCUGGUCUGAGAGGACGACCAGCCACACUGGGACUGAGACACGGCCCAGACUCCUACGGGAGGCAGCAGUGGGGAAUUUUGGACAAUGGGCGCAAGCCUGAUCCAGCAAUGCCGCGUGCAGGAUGAAGGCCUCGGUUGU